UCUCUCGCAAGCGCACAUUUCAGCAAUGGAAUCAGUUGGGCACUAGCUCGUAUGUAGGCCAUUUCACUGCAAAAGUUAAUGCGGAUUACACUCUCCAUUUCGUUCACGAAAGUUCCCGAGCUGACGCUGAUUGGCAGGUAUUUACACAUGUCAGAAAGCGCAGACGAUUUUUGAAUAUUUUUAAUUACGAGUUGCAUUCGGAAGGAACUGUUGCAUUUUUACUUAAUUGUUCUUCGCAAUUCUGCUGGGGAUAAAUUAUGCGAAAAGUUGUGUUCGAAUCUGCCGGCACACAAAUGGAUCUGAAUGAGUGAUGCAGAUUGAUAGAAUCUCAGGAAUAUUUCAUCGGUUUUUCAGCAUGCGUGAUUUGUGGUUGGUGUGACUAUGAGUGCCAAAAUAAACACAGGAAGAUGCUGUUUCUUCGUCAUCAGCCUUUUUAUCAUUGCGGUGCAGGUAUGCAUGUGUUCGGAAUUGAAGUUCCGAAUCCCGAAGGAGGCGGCAUCGUCGGGGGAAGGGGUGUACCGUGUGUCCUACGGCCCCUCUCAAGGGUUCCCCGCCUCCAACUUCACAGUGGACUCAUCCCUUAUUAACCAACUCAUCACUAUCAGCGAUGUUCUGCCAGGAACUCUUUAUACAUUCCAAUUAUAUUUUUCCAACGCUACUCUUCAGGAUAAGCUCAUAUGGAACCAAGAUCUGCCUACUACUCCAGAUCCCCCUGUAAACCUGAACGUCACAGUGAUGGGGGGCAAGGUGGCCGAGGCGAUGUGGGAAGCACCCCGGCAGGGAGGCUAUACAGGAUUCAAGCUAUCCUUGGUACCGCUGGCGGAGAAAGAUGAGACGCCCGUGCGCAACCACUACAUCAGCCACCACACACCAUUCCUCCUCAGGGACCUGACUCCGGGGGCGUCCUACGAAGUACAGCUCUUCUCCGUAUUUCAUGGACAAGAUUCUUCUGUUUUCGUCACCACCAAUUUUACCACCAAGCCAAAUACUCCCGGUCGCUUCAUCGUAUGGUUUAGAAACGAGACCACUCUUCUGGUACUGUGGCAGCCUCCAUAUCCUUCAGGUAUCUUCGACAAAUAUCGGGUAAGCAUCGAUCCUGAAGAUGCCCUCCAGUCGGAGUUGCUCGUGGACAAAGAAAGAGAUCCUCCGGGACCUGCACAAGCAGCCUUCUAUGGGCUUGUACCAGGAAGGAAUUACAACAUAUCCGUCCAGACUGUCAGUGAGAAUCAGAUCAGUGAACCUACCAGGGCUCAAUACAGGACAGUGCCUCUUCCUCCUGUCAACGUGACAUACGAUCCUUCACGUUUAGCAUCUUUUGCUUUCGACGUCCGGUGGGACCCACCCACAAAGCCCUGCGAAUUUGACCGGUAUCAAGUGGCGCUGGGUAUCCGAAAUACCGUCCGAUACCUUAUCAACAAAGAUGAAGAGCGAGUGGUCACCUUCGAUGAAGAACUUGAACCCGGACAGACUUACGAAGUUGUGGUCAAGACGGUCAGCGGGAAUGUUGCAAGCUGGCCGGUUACAGCGAAUAUUACCACAAGACCUCUACCUGUACGAAUUACGAGCUCAUCUUCUGAACAUGUUGGGGAUAUCUUAGUGGCAUGGGAGCCAGCAAAAAAUAGCACUCAAGACUCCUACAGAGUGAAAUACAAUGACAUGGAGGCCUUUAACAGUGGAGGCAGUUUGCUCGUGGUGCAGAACACCAGCAUCAACUUGACAUCUCUACUGCCUGGCAGGAACUACUCCAUCAGCGUGUCCGCCGUCAGCAAGAAGAUCUCCAGCGAACCGACGGUCGUCUUUCAACCAACCAAACCAUCUUCUCCUGUUAUCGAAUCUCUUCUGCCAUCUGAAUCAGGUGGUUGGAAUCUGACAUGGAAGUCUGAUGUAACCAGUCGCCAGGACCAAUAUUCGAUCAUGUACAUCCGCAACGACACACGAUACUUACAAGAGAAGAUAAUCGGCCGCAACUGGCUGGUCCUCGAAGACCUCUUCCCGGGAGCCGGAUAUGAGAUCAAGGUGUAUGCCAUCAGCUUUAACCUCUGGAGCGAACCACAUUCCUAUUUCCAAACCAUUCCUCCACUGAAGCCUCGAGGUCUUCAAGUAGUCAAGGCCAGCAACACGAACAUGAUCAUUGUGUGGACAGCACCAUCGGGUUCUUUGUAUGAUCACUUUAAUGUAAGAUACCAACCUGUUGGAUCAGCGUUUUGGAGACAAAUGGGUUUCGUGAACACCACGUCCUGCGAGAUCAAAGAUCUGGUGCCCGGAGAAAGGUACUCGGUUCAAGUGACGAGCGUCAGCAAUAAAAUAGAGAGCUUGGAAGCCGAAGAAAUCGAGCAGACAAUGUAUCCAAAACCCAUCAAAAAGGUUAAGGAGACUCUGGACUCGUACAACAUCACUUUUGAAUGGGAGGUCCCGGAGGGGUAUCGGGAUUACUACAUCAUCCUCUACAACCCCAUUGACGAUCCUCAGAACCAGAAAUCCCUCCAGGUUGCAGCGAACGAUACGAAACCUAUGGAAAAGAUGGACGUCAUCAUUGACGAACUGAAACCGGGGGAACUCUAUUCAUUCCGCUUCUAUGCAGUGAGCCACAACCUCAGAAGCGAAGGAAUCACAGUACAGACAAGAACAAAACCAGUCAUCGAUUCCGUGAUCAAUAUCGUCACCCGGGAACAUGAGACCAAGACACUUGGCAUCAAGUACACCCCGACCCCGCGUCGCAGCGUAGUAUUCGACCGAUACCGAUUUCAGUUGAGUGACUCUUCUGUACCUGCCCAGGAGAAGCUCUUCAACGACACCAAUCGUCUGGUACUUUUCGACAAUCUGGUGCCAGGGAAGCUCUAUGACAUCACCAUAUGGACAGUGAGCGGAGGGGUCAGCAGCGUUCCCAUCCACCGGCAGACCAGACUGUAUCCCGAGCCCAUCUCUGAGAUUCGCUCCACCACUAUAACAGACACAGAAAUCACCCUCUCUUGGGACAAGCCUCAAGGAGAAAUGGAUGGAUAUGAGAUCGAGUACCAGGAUCCAGUCGGGCACCUGGUGAAGAACGUGAGUUUUGAAGAAGUGAAUACGUUCCGAGGCCUGAAACCUCACCACAACUAUACUUUCCUGGUGUCUGUCAUCAGUGGAUAUGAUACAGCCACGGUGCGGAGGAGUAGACCCCUAUCCAAGACAUUCCAGACUCUAGAAUCAGUGCCUGGUAGGGUACAUUUCUUCCGUGCAGUAGAUGUAAAACCUAGCGAAGUAACCUUACAAUGGUCACUGCCAUCUAACGAACAAAAUGGAGUGCUCACAGGUUAUAAAGUAACUUACUACAUCAAGGGAAGUCCUAAACGCAGACAGGAAUUCUUCGAACCUACAGAGAGCAGGGGCGUGGUCACAGGAUUGCAACCGGGAAUGGAUUAUGUAUUCGAAAUUCAAGCGCACACCAAGGUAGGACCCGGAAGCACAGCUAUAUCGGAAGAAGCCACGCCCAUUUGGCCUCCACCUCCUCCCGAGCCUAACGUAGUUCCGAAGGUGGUCGGUCGAACAUCAAACACCAUCAAAGUGGAAUUUGGUAGUCACUUUUUCUCAAACGUCAAUGGCAAGAUCAUAGCUUAUACCAUAAUCGUGGCAGAAGACGAUGCUAAAGACUCCACUGCCCUCAGAAUGCCAACAUGGGGUGAGGUGCAGCAGUACGCCCUGUGGCCACCCUAUCAGGUGUUGGAACCUUACUAUCCCUUCAACCAUUCUUUGGUGGAGGAUUUCGUAGUUGGUGCAGAAUCGUGCCACGGCGUAAAAGGAUACUGCAACGGACCUCUCAAAGCUGCCUCUACCUACAGGAUCAAACUCAGGGCUUUUACCACUCCGACAGCAUUUACGGAUACUUUCUUCACUUAUCCAAUACAGACAGAGCCCGACAACCGGACGCUGCUGGCCGGCAUCCUUGUGCCCUUAAUCGUUCUUGUGCUGGCCGUUGGGGUGGCCCUGCUUUGGAGAAGAAGGCGGCUAGCCCCCUUCGCCAAGAAAGCUAAGCAUGCCAAGGGCGAUGCCAUAUCCAUCGCGGACAGCGAAGUCAUCACUAGCCGUCCCGUGAAGUUGAAAGACUUCGGUGAUCAUUAUCGCAUCAUGGCAGCAGAUUCGGACUUCCGUUUCUCGGAGGAAUUCGAACAGUUGAAGAAUGUGGGGAGGGAACGGGCUUGCAAUGCGGCCGACCUGCCAGUGAAUCGACCUAAGAACAGAUUCACUAAUAUUCUUCCCUACGAUCACUCCAGGAUCAAACUGAUGCCCACGGAUGAUGAGGAAGGCACAGACUACAUCAACGCCAACUACAUUCCGGGUUAUAAUUCUCCACGGGAGUUCAUCGUGACUCAGGGUCCGCUUCACAGCACCCGUGAUGACUUCUGGCGGAUGGUGUGGGAGCAGAACAGCAGGGCCAUAGUGAUGCUGACCCGCUGCAUCGAGAAGGGACGCGAAAAAUGCGAUCAUUACUGGCCCUUCGACAUGCAGCCCGUCUACUAUGGUGAUAUACAAGUCAUCCUACUCAACGAAUCACAGUACCACCACUGGACCAUCUCCGAGUUCAAAGUCUCCAGGAAUGACCAGUCACGCGUCGUGCGGCAUUUCCACUUCACGACGUGGCCGGACUUCGGCGUCCCCGAACCUCCGCAGAUCCUGGUGAAAUUCGUCCGGUCAGUCAGAGAGAGAAUUGGCAACGAUCCAAAGCCUAUUGUAGUCCACUGCAGUGCGGGUGUAGGUCGAUCGGGCACUUUCAUUGCACUCGAUAGAGUGAUACAGCACAUCCAGAAGCACGAUUAUGUCGACAUUUUCGGCAUCGUUUACGAAAUGAGGAAAGAACGGGUAUGGAUGGUGCAGAACGAGCAACAAUACAUUUGUAUUCAUCAAUGCUUGCUAUGCGUCUUGGAAAAGAAAGAGGAAGUCUUGGAUCUUGGGCGACCAGAAGCGCAUGAUAACCAAGGUUACGAUGGAUCGCUUCCAUCUUCAGCUAAACUCUCUGUCAAUCUGUCAAAUGGAGACAUUGGGAAUAAGGCAUAAGGAGACCUCGGUUUCUUCACUGCAACUGUACCUGAUUCGCAUUGAACACGUUUGGGAAGACUUUGUUGUGAUGACGAAGGAAUCGCCGAGUCCGGGAUAUGAUGCUCUUUCAUCUUCUUCAUCUCGGAGCAAGCGGAUGCUGUCCAAUCCAUCACUCUAAUUGUCUUUCACCUGGGGUCAAUCACGAACUGUAACCGUGCCUGAUUGGUAUCGGCACUUAACUGCAGUGGUGUUUUUAGUCAGCUGCUCUCUUUCAACAAGCAGCCCUUUCCGCGAGCUUUAUUAUUAUUUUUUUAUUUUUAUUGUGUGUGUUUUUAGAAGACUUCCAUUACAGCUGCUUGUUGUGUUCCUCCAAUGUAAUAGAAUUAAUGCAUAGCUGUAUUUAUGUGGACGCUCACGUGCCAUUUUUGUUUUGUGAUGAACUAGCGAAUGAACACAAAAAAAGAUGUAUUACUGGAACUGCACAAGCUGCUUGCAGAACUAAUAAGAAGAACACUCAUCAUUGGUUAACUUUUUGUAAAAAUUUAUUAACCUUUCUUAUUACUAUUUAUUGUGAUUCAUCUUUUUCAACUUAAAUCAAUUUGGAAGGAAGAAUUUUAUUUUCACCGGGUAAUAGGAUUAGGUAUACAAUUGAAAAAGAACUUCAAUGCAUUAAGUUAUUCAAAACAGUUGCGCCGAUUAUAAAUUGCUAUAAUUUUCAUAUCAAGAAUGGUAAGAAGGAAAAAAAAUCUUCUCAGUAAGCUGGAAGACAAAGGUAGAUUCCUUUAUGUCUAAGUUGCUAUCAGUCAACAUAAAUUGUUGAUGUUCGAAAUAGUUCAAAUUAGGGUUGGGGAAUCACUUUCCACCUCAUGACUUCUAAGAUAUUGCAGUUACAAAAAAACUUUUAGUACAAAAGUUAUUCAUCUUAAUGAGACGCUAAUUUGACUAUUUGGAUUUAUUUUUCUAUCUUCAAUGUUAAGAAAAUUAUAGUGAAGUGAAUAUUUCCAUCCACCACCGCCAUUUCCACUCCAUUUCAGCUAUAUGGGCCAUUUACGAACUCGUCCGAGAAUUUUACAUUUCUAACAACAUAUUCCAAGCCAGUUAAAAUCCAAACAAAAUUACUUUAGUUAUCCUGUUUAUAAGAUAACAUGGACAAAGCAUUAUAAUUUGUUUUAGAUUCUAGAGACCACGAUCGUUGAAGAACUGCAGAAAUUUUCCUGAAGUCUUGUCAUGAGAACCAUUGCAUUGGUUAGUCUUCCUAUAGGAAUCUACCUAAAAAUUGACGUAGUAUAGAAAGAAUCUUAAAGUUUUAGUAAAUAAUAAUUGCUCUUGUGAUUUACCUUAGUCACAAAGAACAUCAUCUGUGCCCAUUUCAUUCCGAGUACCCGGCAGCAUACCCUAGCCAUUGAUGAACAUUCUAUAAAUAUUUGUAUUUUCUUCAUAUUGAUAUGUAGAAAUGCUGAAAUACUUUUUGUAAAAAUGUUAAAUACUAUACCAAAAAUUACUUUUGGGAUCAGCAUGGAAUGUGCUGUAGACUUUGUCUUAACGACUUUUUUGAGUGGGGCAGUGAACGAAUUGAAGAUACACAUAGAGAAUGAGUCGUGACUGAAAUGGACUACCAUGUUGAUGUUGCCCGUAGGACGAAAUGUGACUUCUCUUUUUUCCGCAAACAAUAUCUAUAUGGCAGACCAUUUCACGCUAGACACUGUGAAACAUGUUCAGAGCCAUUGUUGAGCAUUCGAUCGCCACAUUAUAUUCUACCAAGGCUAUUUAAAUUUUCUGAAAUUACUUCUUGGAUUUUCAUUUCAUUGGUGUAAGUCAUUGAUUCUGUCUCAAUGUCUUCUAUGCGCAACAAUAAACGAACUAAAGAUAUGUAUAGGGAAUAUGUCACGUGGCUGUGAAAUGAACUACUACAUUGAUGUUGCUAGUGGAAUCAAACAUGACCACCUGUGCAACAUCUAUGUGGUAGUCCAUUUCACGCUACACUGUGAAAAAUGUUCACAAACAAUGGAGACAUUUAAUAGCACAGUAUUUUUUGCAUGUGGCUAUUUAAAUCUUUAGAAAUUACUUCUUGUCUCUUCAUUUCAUUGUGUUCUGUAGUAGGUUGAAACUUAACAUCUUAUUUGUGUAAGGGUAUUUAAGGUUUAUACAGAGAAAAUGUUCCACAAGGUAAUUAACAGAAGGUAAUUAUCGUAUCUGUAUUAUCAUAACAGUUUGUUAUCCGUGCAAUUCUUUUGAAUAACUUUGUGCAAUUUGGGAAUCAUUUCGAGAUGUAGUUACUUUAGGGGUAUAUAUUACAAAAAAUGCUAAUAUUGCAUUUAUUCAUUUUUU
RNA transcript from Argiope bruennichi, 7341 nucleotides. It is a transcript of the gene named tyrosine-protein phosphatase 10D-like, with no coding region annotated. The record is from RefSeq and is a predicted model, not a curated record. The transcript has 27 exons. Lineage: Eukaryota; Metazoa; Arthropoda; Arachnida; Araneae; Araneidae.